GGCUACCAUGCAAGUCGAGCGGCAGCGGGAAGUAGCUUGCUACUUUUGCCGGCGAGCGGCGGACGGGUGAGUAAUGCCUGGGGAUCUGCCCAGUCGAGGGGGAUAACUACUGGAAACGGUAGCUAAUACCGCAUACGCCCUACGGGGGAAAGCAGGGGACCUUCUGGCCUUGCGCGAUUGGAUGAACCCAGGUGGGAUUAGCUAGUUGGUGAGGUAAUGGCUCACCAAGGCGACGAUCCCUAGCUGGUCUGAGAGGAUGACCAGCCACACUGGAACUGAGACACGGUCCAGACUCCUACGGGAGGCAGCAGUGGGGAAUAUUGCACAAUGGGCGCAAGCCUGAUGCAGCCAUGCCGCGUGUAUGAAGAAGGCCUUCGGGUUGUAAAGUACUUUCAGCGAGGAGGAAGGCGUUGUGGUUAAUAACCGCAGCGAUUGACGUUACUCGCAGAAGAAGCACCGGCUAACUCCGUGCCAGCAGCCGCGGUAAUACGGAGGGUGCAAGCGUUAAUCGGAAUUACUGGGCGUAAAGCGCACGCAGGCGGUCUGUCAAGUCGGAUGUGAAAUCCCCGGGCUCAACCUGGGGAACUGCAUCCGAAACUGGCAGGCUAGAGUCUUGUAGAGGGGGGUAGAAUUCCAGGUGUAGCGGUGAAAUGCGUAGAGAUCUGGAGGAAUACCGGUGGCGAACGCGGCCCCCUGGACAAAGACUGACGCUCAGUGCGAAAGCGUGGGAGCAAACAGGAUUAGAUACCCUGGUAGUCCACGCCGUAACGAUGUCGACUUGGAGGUUGUGCCCUUGAGCGUGCUUCCGGAG
Molecule: ribosomal RNA, 811 nt
Filed under: uncultured bacterium
Lineage: Bacteria
Description: bacterial SSU rRNA
Rfam family: Bacterial small subunit ribosomal RNA
Source: RNAcentral